Molecule: ribosomal RNA, 136 nt
Filed under: uncultured bacterium
Lineage: Bacteria
Description: partial 16S ribosomal RNA
Rfam family: Bacterial small subunit ribosomal RNA
Source: RNAcentral
GGGCGCAAGCCUGAUGCAGCGACGCCGCGUGCGGGAUGGAGGCCUUCGGGUUGUAAACCGCUUUUGUUCAAGGGCAAGGCAGGCUUUCGGGCCUGUUGAGUGGAUUGUUCGAAUAAGCACCGGCUAACUACGUGCC